GUGGGCCCUCGAAAGUCGAAAGGCAGGGGGAUUCAGUCGGGAGGCAGGCGAACGGGCGCCCUGCUGCCAAUGGUGGACCCUUCCUGGGGCCAGGCAGACAGUGGAUGGCCUGGUCUCCCGACGCACUUUUCCCUGCCCAGUAGUACGCUGCGACCGGUUGGGUACCGAACGAGUGUCGGCUGUAAGGGCUGGAUGCCGAAGGUGGCUGGUGGUGUGCUCUCCCGAGUCCCGCCAGUGUUACAUCUGUCCAGCCCGGGCACGUCACCUGACCGAGGCACCAAGAGGCCCUGUGUGGGCCAGUCCGCACCCYSCACCCUCCACGUCGGGAGUGGAUCUCCUGCCAGGGGUCUGCUGUCCGGUUGUUCCGCAUCUAAGCGGGCGGCCUGGCACGGGCAAUGGUAGGCGGGAAGAGUCCGCGCGGGUGCAGGAGGUCAGCAGCGAGUAGGUCGGUCACCCACCCGACCCGUCUUGAAACACGGACCAAGGAGUCUAACAUGUGCGCGAGUCGUCGGGUCUUGAAUAGGCCCGCGGGCGCAAUGAAAGUGAAGGGCGACCUUGUUGUCGUCUGCGUUGGGAUCCCCAGUACCGUCGCGUCUGGGGCGCACCAACGGCCCGUCCCGUCCGCAGCGUCGGUGGGACGGAGCGAGAGCGUACACGUUGGGACCCGAAAGAUGGUGAACUAUGCCUGGGCAGGACGAGGCCAGAGGAAACUCUGGUGGAGGUCCGCAGCGAUUCUGACGUGCAAAUCGAUCGUCAGACCUGGGUAUAGG
Molecule: ribosomal RNA, 770 nt
Filed under: Urodacus planimanus
Lineage: Eukaryota; Metazoa; Arthropoda; Arachnida; Scorpiones; Urodacidae
Description: eukaryotic LSU rRNA
Rfam family: Eukaryotic large subunit ribosomal RNA (bases 480-770)
Source: RNAcentral